Herpailurus yagouaroundi (jaguarundi) is the source of this 920-nucleotide long non-coding RNA. RefSeq lists it as uncharacterized. The transcript has 2 exons. The record is from RefSeq and is a predicted model, not a curated record. NCBI's taxonomy places the organism in Eukaryota, Metazoa, Chordata, Mammalia, Carnivora, Felidae.
CCAGCGCUGCUGUGGCUGACUGCUGGGUGGGAACCUGGACAUGGGGUGGGGGACAUAGUCGCUGCACACGUCACCGAAGUUCAGAGGUCAAGGGCAUCCCACACAAAAGCUACACGUUCCUAAGAAGUUUGACAAAAUCCCCUGUUGAGGAAGCUUACCCGGGGAUCAAAGGCACCAAACUGGGGUGAGCUGACCCGAGCACUCGCUAGCAGGGUGAAAGAAUUCAGUUGACGUCUCCAUGUACCUCAUCAUUUCUCUUCUGUUCCCCUGGAGAGUGGCUUUGUGUGGUAAAUAUUUAUGUGAUAUCUGAAUUAUUGGUGAUGUCAUACAUGCCCUUGUAUCUGAGAACAUACUGUGAUUUAGAACUAAAACUCUUUAUCAUCCCCAUUUCUGCUAAGUAGGAUCUACUCCUGAUGCAGGACCUUGGGAGGAACAUUUGGAUCCGAGAGAAAAAGGCCUGAGCUGCCCGGAGAGAAGGCGCCAUGACAGCUCCUUUCCCUCGUGUAGCACGAUGCCCAUUCUUCUGCGGCCUGUGACGUCUCAUCCCUGCCCCCCGCCACCCCGGCAUCUUGCCGCCCAAGAGCCCCAGAGCAAUGCCCAGCCAUUGCUGCUUCAUGUCACGCCAGGACCCUGGAGCGUCAUCCUCAGAGGAAUCCAGAUCCUGAUGGGGCUAUCCACGGGCUGGAUGUCUGGGCCACAUAUCAUGGUGCCGGAAAGCCCAGGAAGCAAGGGGCACGUGUAGAGGAGAGAAUCCUUGAAGGCAGGUAUCCACUGAGACGCCUCCCACAUUCGGCAGCAUCUCAUCUUUUAUGGGAUAUGGACGACUAUGGUAAUGGUGGAAAGACAGAGUUGGGCAGGAAAUCUGAAUGCUGUUAUAAUAUGGAGAGGGGACUUCUGCAUAUAAGUUUUGGGCAAGUUUC